Molecule: ribosomal RNA, 246 nt
Filed under: uncultured bacterium
Lineage: Bacteria
Description: partial 16S ribosomal RNA
Rfam family: Bacterial small subunit ribosomal RNA
Source: RNAcentral
CGUGAGAGUUGGGUUAAGUCCCGCAACGAGCGCAACCCCUAUUGUUAGUUGCUACGCAAGAGCACUCUAGCGAGACUGCGUUGACAAAACGGAGGAAGGUGGGGACGACGUCAAAUCAUCAUGCCCCUUAUGUCCUGGGCUACACACGUAAUACAAUGGCGGUCAACAGAGGGAUGCAAAAUCGCAAGAUGGAGCGAACCCCUAAAAGCCGUCCCAGUUCAGAUUGUGGGCUGCAACCCGCCCACA